RNAcentral lists this transfer RNA (75 nucleotides) under Rhodospirillaceae bacterium. RNAcentral's name for it is "tRNA-Thr". It matches the Rfam family "tRNA". Rfam says of the family: Transfer RNA (tRNA) molecules are approximately 80 nucleotides in length. Their secondary structure includes four short double-helical elements and three loops (D, anti-codon, and T loops). Further hydrogen bonds mediate the characteristic L-shaped molecular structure. tRNAs have two regions of fundamental functional importance: the anti-codon, which is responsible for specific mRNA codon recognition, and the 3' end, to which the tRNAs corresponding amino acid is attached (by aminoacyl-tRNA synthetases). tRNAs cope with the degeneracy of the genetic code in two manners: having more than one tRNA (with a specific anti-codon) for a particular amino acid; and 'wobble' base-pairing, i.e. permitting non-standard base-pairing at the 3rd anti-codon position. Lineage: Bacteria; Pseudomonadati; Pseudomonadota; Alphaproteobacteria; Rhodospirillales; Rhodospirillaceae. The record is from RNAcentral.
GCUGGUGUAGCUCAGGGGUAGAGCACGUCCUUGGUAAGGACGGGGCCCGCGGUUCAAUUCCGCGCACCAGCACCA